UACGUAGGGAGCAAGCGUUGUCCGGAAUCAUUGGGCGUAAAGCGCACGUAGGCGGCCCUGUAAGUCCGUUGUGAAAGUCAAAGGCUCAACCUUUGAAAGCCGAUGGAUACUGCAGGGCUAGAGUCCGGAAGAGGCGAGUGGAAUUCCUGGUGUAGCGGUGGAAUGCGCAGAUAUCAGGAGGAACACCAAUAGCGAAGGCAGCUCGCUGGGACGGUACUGACGCUAAGGUGCGAAAGCGUGGGGAGCGAACAGG
RNAcentral lists this ribosomal RNA (253 nucleotides) under uncultured bacterium. RNAcentral describes it as "partial 16S ribosomal RNA". It matches the Rfam family "Bacterial small subunit ribosomal RNA", at positions 524 to 776 of the family's 1533-position model. The record is from RNAcentral.